Molecule: non-coding RNA, 29 nt
Filed under: Homo sapiens (human)
Lineage: Eukaryota; Metazoa; Chordata; Mammalia; Primates; Hominidae
Source: RNAcentral
UACUUCAUCCUCUCCAUUUACAUAGGGCA